This 76-nucleotide transfer RNA is filed under the name bacterium. RNAcentral describes it as "tRNA-Lys". It matches the Rfam family "tRNA". Rfam says of the family: Transfer RNA (tRNA) molecules are approximately 80 nucleotides in length. Their secondary structure includes four short double-helical elements and three loops (D, anti-codon, and T loops). The record is from RNAcentral.
GGGCCGGUAGCUCAGUUGGUAGAGCAUCGCCCUUUUAAGGCGGCUGUCGAGAGUUCGAGCCUCUCCCGGCUCACCA